This 75-nucleotide transfer RNA is filed under the name Candidatus Doudnaibacteriota bacterium. Its description in RNAcentral is "Candidatus Doudnabacteria bacterium tRNA-Thr". It matches the Rfam family "tRNA". Rfam says of the family: Transfer RNA (tRNA) molecules are approximately 80 nucleotides in length. Lineage: Bacteria; Candidatus Doudnaibacteriota. The record is from RNAcentral.
GCCGAAGUAGUUCAAUAGCAGAGCAACUGUUUUGUAAACAGUCGACGGCGGAGCAUAACCAGCCCUUCGGCUCCA